This 518-nucleotide ribosomal RNA is filed under the name uncultured bacterium. RNAcentral describes it as "bacterial SSU rRNA". It matches the Rfam family "Bacterial small subunit ribosomal RNA", at positions 30 to 526 of the family's 1533-position model. The record is from RNAcentral.
AUUGAACGCUGGCGGCAGGCCUAACACAUGCAAGUCGAACGGUAACAGGAAGCAGCUUGCUGAUUUGCUGACGAGUGGCGGACGGGUGAGUAACACGUGGGUAACCUGCCUAUCAGAGGGGGAUAACACUUGGAAACAGGUGCUAAUACCGCAUAACAAUAUCAAUCGCAUGAUAGAUAUUUGAAAGGCGCUUAUGGUGUCACUGAUAGAUGGACCCGCGGUGCAUUAGCUAGUCGGUGGGGUAACGGCCUACCGAGGCGAUGAUGCAUAGCCGACCUGAGAGGGUGAUCGGCCACAUUGGGACUGAGACACGGCCCAAACUCCUACGGGAGGCAGCAGUAGGGAAUCUUCGGCAAUGGACGCAAGUCUGACCGAGCAACGCCGCGUGAGUGAAGAAGGUUUUCGGAUCGUAAAGCUCUGUUGUUAGAGAAGAACAAGUAAGAUAGUAACUGAUCUUGCCUUGACGGUAUCUAACCAGAAAGCCACGGCUAACUACGUGCCAGCCGCCGCCGUAACAC